CAGACCUCUAAUCGGAAAAGACUACCCGCUGAGUUUAAGCAUAUCACUAAGCGGAGGAGAAGAAACUAACCAGGAUUUCCCUAG
This 84-nucleotide ribosomal RNA is filed under the name Scorpidium scorpioides. RNAcentral's name for it is "partial 25S ribosomal RNA". It matches the Rfam family "Eukaryotic large subunit ribosomal RNA", at positions 1 to 83 of the family's 3401-position model. RNAcentral also lists the same sequence under 2 other names. The record is from RNAcentral. Lineage: Eukaryota; Viridiplantae; Streptophyta; Bryopsida; Hypnales; Amblystegiaceae.